Octodon degus (degu) is the source of this 164-nucleotide small nuclear RNA. Its record names the gene U1. It matches the Rfam family "U1 spliceosomal RNA". From Rfam's summary of the family: U1 is a small nuclear RNA (snRNA) component of the spliceosome (involved in pre-mRNA splicing). Its 5' end forms complementary base pairs with the 5' splice junction, thus defining the 5' donor site of an intron. NCBI's taxonomy places the organism in Eukaryota, Metazoa, Chordata, Mammalia, Rodentia, Octodontidae. The record is from Ensembl.
AUACUUACCUGGUAGGGAAGAUACCAUGACCACGAAGGUGGUUUUCUCAAGGCGAGGCUGGUCUGUUGCACUCUGGAUGUGCUGACCCCUGUGAUUUCCCCAAAUGUGGGAAAAUCUACUGCAUAAUUUGUAGUAGUAGGGGACUGUGUUCGUGCUCUCCCCUG